Molecule: ribosomal RNA, 302 nt
Filed under: uncultured bacterium
Lineage: Bacteria
Description: partial 16S ribosomal RNA
Rfam family: Bacterial small subunit ribosomal RNA
Source: RNAcentral
GCAGCCGCCGCGGGAAUACGUAGGUCCCGAGCGUUGUCCGGAUUUAUUGGGCGCAAAGCGAGCGCAGGCGGUUAGAUAAGUCUGAAGUUAAAGGCUGUGGCUUAACCAUAGUACGCUUUGGAAACUGUUUAACUUGAGUGCAGAAGGGGAGAGUGGAAUUCCAUGUGUAGCGGUGAAAUGCGUAGAUAUAUGGAGGAACACCGGUGGCGAAAGCGGCUCUCUGGUCUGUAACUGACGCUGAGGCUCGAAAGCGUGGGGAGCAAACAGGAUUAGAUACCCCUGUAGUCCCUGUCUCUUAUACA